GAUGAACGCUGGCGGCGUGCCUAAUACAUGCAAGUCGAGCGAACAGACGAGGAGCUUGCUCCUCUGACGUUAGCGGCGGACGGGUGAGUAACACGUGGAUAACCUACCUAUAAGACUGGGAUAACUUCGGGAAACCGGAGCUAAUACCGGAUAAUAUAUUGAACCGCAUGGUUCAAUAGUGAAAGACGGUUUUGCUGCCACUUAUAGAUGGAUCCGCGCCGCAUUAGCUAGUUGGUAAGGUAACGGCUUACCAAGGCAACGAUGCGUAGCCGACCUGAGAGGGUGGUCGGCCGCACUGGAACUGAGACACGGUCCAGACUCCUACGGGAGGCAGCAGUAGGGAAGCUUCCGCAAUGGGCGAAAGCCGGACGGAGCAACGCCGCGUGAGUGAUGAAGGUCUUCGGAUCGUAGAGCUCUGUUAUUAGGGAAGAACAAAUGUGUAAGUAACUAUGCACGUCUUGACGGUACCUAAUCAGAAAGCCACGGCUAACUACGUG
This 497-nucleotide ribosomal RNA is filed under the name uncultured bacterium. RNAcentral describes it as "partial 16S ribosomal RNA". It matches the Rfam family "Bacterial small subunit ribosomal RNA", at positions 28 to 507 of the family's 1533-position model. The record is from RNAcentral.